GCCAUUACGGCUCGCCUUUAGGUGUCCUCCUCGAGAUAGCAUCAUUUAAAGAACGAGGGACAGCACGUAGUAAAAAAAACUGGAGGAGCCUGCCGAAGAUGAGGCCAUUAUAGCUCGUCUUUAGGUGCCCUCCUCAAGAUAACGUCAUUUAAAGAGCGAUGGUCUGCACAACGUAAACAAAAAACAGAAUAAAAUCCGAGGAACCUGCCGUAGAUGAGCCCAUUACAGCUCGCCUAUAGGUGUCCUCCUCGGGAUAGCGUCAUUUAAAGAACGAGGGUCAGCACGACGUAAAAAAAAUGAAGGAGCCUGCUGAAGAUGAGGGCAUUACGGAUCGCCUUUAGGUGUCCUCCUCGGGAUAGCGUCAUUUUAAGAAAGAGGGUCAGCACGUUGUAAAAAAAAAUCGGAAAAAAAACCGGAGGAGCCUAUCGAAGAUGAUGCCAAUACGGCUCGCCUUUCGAUGUCAUCCUCAGGAUAGUGUCAUUUAAAGAACGAGGGGCAGCAUGACGUAAAAAAAUGAAAAAAAAACCG
Non-coding RNA from Arachis ipaensis, 528 nucleotides. NCBI's taxonomy places the organism in Eukaryota, Viridiplantae, Streptophyta, Magnoliopsida, Fabales, Fabaceae. The record is from RefSeq and is a predicted model, not a curated record.